UACGUAGGGUGCAAGCGUUAAUCGGAAUUACUGGGCGUAAAGCGUGCGCAGGCGGUUCUGUAAGAUAGAUGUGAAAUCCCCGGGCUCAACCUGGGAAUUGCAUAUAUGACUGCAGGACUUGAGUUUGUCAGAGGAGGGUGGAAUUCCACGUGUAGCAGUGAAAUGCGUAGAUAUGUGGAAGAACACCGAUGGCGAAGGCAGCCCUCUGGGACAUGACUGACGCUCAUGCACGAAAGCGUGGGGAGCAAACAGGAUUAGAAACCCCAGUGCUGACUGACU
RNAcentral lists this ribosomal RNA (279 nucleotides) under Sutterella wadsworthensis. Its description in RNAcentral is "partial 16S ribosomal RNA". It matches the Rfam family "Bacterial small subunit ribosomal RNA", at positions 524 to 803 of the family's 1533-position model. Lineage: Bacteria; Pseudomonadati; Pseudomonadota; Betaproteobacteria; Burkholderiales; Sutterellaceae. The record is from RNAcentral.